CUCCUACGGGAGGCAGCAGUAGGGAAUCUUCCACAAUGGACGAAAGUCUGAUGGAGCAACGCCGCGUGAGUGAAGAAGGUUUUCGGAUCGUAAAACUCUGUUGUUGGAGAAGAACGUAUUUGAUAGUAACUGAUCACGUAGUGACGGUAUCCAACCAGAAAGCCACGGCUAACUACGUGCCAGCAGCCGCGGUAAUA
RNAcentral lists this ribosomal RNA (197 nucleotides) under uncultured bacterium. RNAcentral's name for it is "partial 16S ribosomal RNA". It matches the Rfam family "Bacterial small subunit ribosomal RNA", at positions 336 to 525 of the family's 1533-position model. The record is from RNAcentral.